Molecule: transfer-messenger RNA, 355 nt
Filed under: Deltaproteobacteria bacterium
Lineage: Bacteria; Pseudomonadati; Myxococcota; Myxococcia
Rfam family: transfer-messenger RNA
About the family: Bacterial tmRNA, also known as 10Sa RNA or SsrA, is named for its dual tRNA and mRNA-like properties.
Source: RNAcentral
GGGGGCGAAACGGGUUCGACGGAGGUAGUGAAGCUUAAGUUGCAUGCCGAGCUCCUUGCAGCUCGUAAAACAGCAAGGAUCUAAAAUAAACGCAGACGAUUAUGCGUACGCCGUAGCCGCUUAAUCGGCUACCGUCCUGUUAGCUUUUUCCCACGAAGCUAACAAGGGCGUCGGGAUGUGGGAUAGCCACUGAAAUGCAGCUCGCGCUUUCGGUGGCGAACAUGAGGCGAGCUAGCUUCUGACGUAUCCGGCGGGCAGGGAGACGUCAGAGGCGAACAUGAGAUCUGCCGCUAAGCAUGUAGAAGCUUAAGUGGAAUGCCUCCGGACGUGGGUUCAACUCCCACCGCCUCCACCA